GAUGAAGAACGUAGCGAAACGCGAUAUGUAAUGUGAAUUGCAGAUUUCAGUGAAUCAUCGAAUCUUUGAACGCACAUGGCGCCUUCCAGUAUCCUGGGAGGCAUGCCUGUCCGAGCGUCGUUUCAACCCUCGAGCCCCCGUGGCCCGGCGUUGGGGAUCUGCCCAGGCAGUCCCCGAAAACCAGUGGCGGACCCGUUACAGGCCCUUCCCUUGCGUAGUAGCAUUCGCCUCGCAUCGGGAGCCGGCGGGCUUCCAGCCUCUAAACCCCCAUCAAGUCCGCCCCGGCGGCACCAAGGUUGACCUCGGAUCAGGUAGGAAUACCCGCUGAACUUAAGCAUAUCAAUAAGCGGAGGA
Molecule: unclassified non-coding RNA, 354 nt
Filed under: soil metagenome
Description: partial contains 5.8S ribosomal RNA, internal transcribed spacer 2, and large subunit ribosomal RNA
Rfam family: 5.8S ribosomal RNA (bases 1-120)
Source: RNAcentral